UUGGUGAUCUCAAACCACUCACAAGGGGUCCCACCCAAAGGGAAGAAACCAAGAUGCUUAUGAUCCUUGAGGCUAUGCAAAUGCCAUGUGUCAUACCCCGAUUUUGGUCCUGAAUUUUUUUCAUUUUUUUAUUUUUUAUUUGGCACUUGGCUUAAAGUUCAUUUGCAUACAUUCAUGACCAAAGGCAACCAUCCAUUCCCAAAUCCACUUUUUUUUGAUAGACAUUGGUCAUUAU
RNAcentral lists this long non-coding RNA (235 nucleotides) under Lathyrus oleraceus (garden pea). RNAcentral describes it as "Pisum sativum (pea) long non-coding RNA (PSAT_LNC012157)". Lineage: Eukaryota; Viridiplantae; Streptophyta; Magnoliopsida; Fabales; Fabaceae. The record is from RNAcentral.